GCAAGUCGAGCGGUAACAUUUCAAAAGCUUGCUUUUGAAGAUGACGAGUGGCGCACGGGUGCGUAACGCGUAUAGAACCUACCCUUUACAGGGGGAUAGCCCGGAGAAAUUCGGAUUAAUACCCCAUAGUACUAUUUAGAGGCAUCUUUAGAUGGUUAAAGAGAUUCGGUAAAGGAUGGCUAUGCGUCCUAUUAGUUUGUAGGUGAGGUAACGGCUCACCUAGACUUCGAUAGGUAGGGGCCCUGAGAGGGGGAUC
This 256-nucleotide ribosomal RNA is filed under the name uncultured bacterium. Its description in RNAcentral is "partial 16S ribosomal RNA". It matches the Rfam family "Bacterial small subunit ribosomal RNA", at positions 57 to 305 of the family's 1533-position model. The record is from RNAcentral.